AUUAGUGGCGAACGGGUGAGUAACACGUGAGUAACCUGCCCCUUACUUUCCUGGAUAACUGCUCGAAAGGGUAGCUAAUACGGGAUAUUCUGACCAGCCCGCAUGGGUUGGUUUGGAAAGGUUGUUUUUCUGGUAAGGGAUGGGCUCGCGGCCUAUCAGCUUGUUGGUGGGGUGAUGGCCUACCAAGGCUUUGACGGGUAGCCGGCCUGAGAGGGUGGACGGUCACACUGGGACUGAGAUACGGCCCAG
This 249-nucleotide ribosomal RNA is filed under the name uncultured bacterium. RNAcentral's name for it is "partial 16S ribosomal RNA". It matches the Rfam family "Bacterial small subunit ribosomal RNA", at positions 91 to 334 of the family's 1533-position model. The record is from RNAcentral.